CCCUUAGAUGUUCUGGGCUGCACGCGCGCUACACUGAAGCGUUCAACGAGUAUUCACCUUGCCCGGGAGGGUUGGGUAAUCUUUUGAAAACGCUUCGUGAUGGGGAUAGAUUAUUGCAAUUAUUAAUCUUCAACGAGGAAUGCCUAGUAAGCGCAAGUCAUCAGCUUGCGUUGAUUACGUCCCUGCCCUUUGUACACACCGCCCGUCGCUCCUACCGAUUGAAUGGUCCGGUGAAGCGUUUGGACUAUGGUUUUCUGAUGGUCCGCCGUUGGAUUACCGUGGGAAGUUCGUUAAACCUUAUCAUUUAGAGGAAGGAGAAGUCGUAACA
Molecule: ribosomal RNA, 328 nt
Filed under: uncultured eukaryote
Lineage: Eukaryota
Description: partial 18S ribosomal RNA
Rfam family: Eukaryotic small subunit ribosomal RNA
Source: RNAcentral